UACGUAGGGUGCGAGCGUUGUCCGGAAUUAUUGGGCGUAAAGGGCCCGUAGGCGGUUUGUCGCGUCGGGAGUGAAAACCUCGGGCUUAACUCGGGGCUUGCUUUCGAUACGGGCAGACUGGAGGUAUGCAGGGGAGAACGGAAUUCCUGGUGUAGCGGUGAAAUGCGCAGAUAUCAGGAGGAACACCGAUGGCGAAGGCAGUUCUCUGGGCCGUAACUGACGCUGAGGAGCGAAAGCGUGGGGAGCGAACAGG
RNAcentral lists this ribosomal RNA (253 nucleotides) under uncultured bacterium. RNAcentral's name for it is "partial 16S ribosomal RNA". It matches the Rfam family "Bacterial small subunit ribosomal RNA", at positions 524 to 776 of the family's 1533-position model. The record is from RNAcentral.